GAUGAACGCUGGCGGCGUGCCUAAUACAUGCAAGUCGAGCGAACGGACGAGAAGCUUGCUUCUCUGAUGUUAGCGGCGGACGGGUGAGUAACACGUGGAUAACCUACCUAUAAGACUGGGAUAACUUCGGGAAACCGGAGCUAAUACCAGAUAAUAUUUUGAACCGCAUGGUUCAAAAGUGAAAGACGGUCUUGCUGUCACUUAUAGAUGGAUCCGCGCUGCAUUAGCUAGUUGGUAAGGUAACGGCUUACCAAGGCAACGAUGCAUAGCCGACCUGAGAGGGUGAUCGGCCACACUGGAACUGAGACACGGUCCAGACUCCUACGGGAGGCAGCAGUAGGGAAUCUUCCGCAAUGGGCGAAAGCCUGACGGAGCAACGCCGCGUGAGUGAUGAAGGUCUUCGGAUCGUAAAACUCUGUUAUUAGGGAAGAACAUAUGUGUAAGUAACUGUGCACAUCUUGACGGUACCGAAUCAGAAAGCCACGGCUAACUACGU
This 496-nucleotide ribosomal RNA is filed under the name uncultured bacterium. RNAcentral's name for it is "partial 16S ribosomal RNA". It matches the Rfam family "Bacterial small subunit ribosomal RNA", at positions 28 to 506 of the family's 1533-position model. The record is from RNAcentral.